Molecule: ribosomal RNA, 434 nt
Filed under: uncultured bacterium
Lineage: Bacteria
Description: partial 16S ribosomal RNA
Rfam family: Bacterial small subunit ribosomal RNA
Source: RNAcentral
AACGAACGCUGGCGGCAUGCCUAACACAUGCAAGUCGAACGAACCUUUCGGGGUUAGUGGCGGACGGGUGAGUAACACGUGGGAACGUGCCUUUAGGUUCGGAAUAACUCAGGGAAACUUGUGCUAAUACCGAAUGUUGCCUUCGGGGGAAAGAUUAAUCGCCUUUAGAUGGGCCCGCGUUUGAUUAGCUAGUUGGUUGAGGUAAUGGCUCACCAAGGCGACGAUCAGUAGCUGGUCUGAGAGGAUGAUCAGCCACAUUGGGACUGAGACACGGCCCAAACUCCUACGGGAGGCAGCAGUGGGGAAUAUUGCGCAAUGGGCGAAAGCCUGACGCAGCCAUGCCGCGUGAAUGAUGAAGGUCUUAGGAUUGUAAAAUUCUUUUACCGGGGACGAUAAUGACGGUACCGGGAGAAGAAGCCCCGGCUAACUUCGUG